Molecule: ribosomal RNA, 250 nt
Filed under: uncultured bacterium
Lineage: Bacteria
Description: partial 16S ribosomal RNA
Rfam family: Bacterial small subunit ribosomal RNA
Source: RNAcentral
UACGUAGGGUGCAAGCGUUAAUCGGAAUUACUGGGCGUAAAGCGUGCGCAGGCGGUUCGCUAAGACAGAUGUGAAAUCCCCGGGCUAACCUGGGAACUGCAUUUGUGACUGGCGGCUAGAGUAUGGCAGAGGGGGGUAGAAUUCACGUGUAGCAGUGAAAUGCGUAGAGAUGUGGGGGAAUACCGAUGGCGAAGGCAGCCCCCUGGGCCAAUACUGACGCUCAUGCACGAAAGCGUGGGGAGCAAACAGG